Molecule: non-coding RNA, 206 nt
Organism: Pocillopora verrucosa
Lineage: Eukaryota; Metazoa; Cnidaria; Anthozoa; Scleractinia; Pocilloporidae
Source: RefSeq, a predicted model, not a curated record
GGAACUUAUGAUAGAUUGUACUGCUUCACAAGCGUGUUUUCGCUCAGUUCUAUCGGAAGUUCUCGAAAUAAAGGUGUACCCAAUCUUCUUAUUGCUUGUUAGAUGUGUGCUGUUUGGCAGAAAGAGAAGUGAACGAAUGGCGCCAUCAAUGAAGUAAAAAACCUGUUGUAAUUAGGUACUUGUUCAGUGCAACCGACCCGCUGUAG